Molecule: ribosomal RNA, 1182 nt
Filed under: Pseudomonas brassicacearum 51MFCVI2.1
Lineage: Bacteria; Pseudomonadati; Pseudomonadota; Gammaproteobacteria; Pseudomonadales; Pseudomonadaceae
Also listed under: 1 other name
Description: bacterial LSU rRNA
Rfam family: Bacterial large subunit ribosomal RNA
Source: RNAcentral
AAGCACUUGCUGCGUAAGCCCACGCCGGUCGAAGAUACCAGGCCGCUGCGACUGUUUAUUAAAAACACAGCACUCUGCAAACACGAAAGUGGACGUAUAGGGUGUGACGCCUGCCCGGUGCCGGAAGGUUAAUUGAUGGGGUUAGCUAACGCGAAGCUCUUGAUCGAAGCCCCGGUAAACGGCGGCCGUAACUAUAACGGUCCUAAGGUAGCGAAAUUCCUUGUCGGGUAAGUUCCGACCUGCACGAAUGGCGUAACGAUGGCGGCGCUGUCUCCACCCGAGACUCAGUGAAAUUGAAAUCGCUGUGAAGAUGCAGUGUAUCCGCGGCUAGACGGAAAGACCCCGUGAACCUUUACUAUAGCUUUGCACUGGACUUUGAAUUUGCUUGUGUAGGAUAGGUGGGAGGCUUUGAAGCGUGGACGCCAGUUCGCGUGGAGCCAUCCUUGAAAUACCACCCUGGCAACUUUGAGGUUCUAACUCAGGUCCGUUAUCCGGAUCGAGGACAGUGUAUGGUGGGUAGUUUGACUGGGGCGGUCUCCUCCUAAAGAGUAACGGAGGAGUACGAAGGUGCGCUCAGACCGGUCGGAAAUCGGUCGUAGAGUAUAAAGGCAAAAGCGCGCUUGACUGCGAGACAGACACGUCGAGCAGGUACGAAAGUAGGUCUUAGUGAUCCGGUGGUUCUGUAUGGAAGGGCCAUCGCUCAACGGAUAAAAGGUACUCCGGGGAUAACAGGCUGAUACCGCCCAAGAGUUCAUAUCGACGGCGGUGUUUGGCACCUCGAUGUCGGCUCAUCACAUCCUGGGGCUGAAGCCGGUCCCAAGGGUAUGGCUGUUCGCCAUUUAAAGUGGUACGCGAGCUGGGUUUAGAACGUCGUGAGACAGUUCGGUCCCUAUCUGCCGUGGACGUUUGAGAUUUGAGAGGGGCUGCUCCUAGUACGAGAGGACCGGAGUGGACGAACCUCUGGUGUUCCGGUUGUCACGCCAGUGGCAUUGCCGGGUAGCUAUGUUCGGGAAAGAUAACCGCUGAAAGCAUCUAAGCGGGAAACUUGCCUCAAGAUGAGAUCUCACUGGGACCUUGAGUCCCCUGAAGGGCCGUCGAAGACUACGACGUUGAUAGGCAGGGUGUGUAAGCGCUGUGAGGCGUUGAGCUAACCUGUACUAAUUGCCCGUGAGGCUUGACCAU